ACGCCGGUAGCUCAAUUGGCAGAGCAGCCGUCUCCAAAGCGGCAGGUUGCAGGUUCGAUUCCUGCCCGGCGUG
Molecule: transfer RNA, 73 nt
Filed under: Phycisphaerae bacterium
Lineage: Bacteria; Pseudomonadati; Planctomycetota; Phycisphaerae
Also listed under: 6 other names
Description: tRNA-Trp
Rfam family: tRNA
About the family: Transfer RNA (tRNA) molecules are approximately 80 nucleotides in length. Their secondary structure includes four short double-helical elements and three loops (D, anti-codon, and T loops).
Source: RNAcentral